AGAGACCGGCGCACGGGUGCGUAACGCGUAUGCAAUCUACCUUUUGCAGAGGGAUAGCCCAGAGAAAUUUGGAUUAAUACCUCAUAGUAUAGCAGUUUCGCAUGAGACCACUAUUAAAGUCACAACGGCAAAAGAUGAGCAUGCGUCCCAUUAGCUAGUUGGUAAGGUAACGGCUUACCAAGGCAACGAUGGGUAGGGGUCCUGAGAGGGAGAUCCCCCACACUGGUACUGAGACACGGACCAGACUCCUACGGGAGGCAGCAGUGAGGAAUAUUGGACAAUGGGCGCAAGCCUGAUCCAGCCAUGCCGCGUGCAGGAUGACGGUCCUAUGGAUUGUAAACUGCUUUUGUACAGGAAGAAACACCUCUACGUGUAGAGAUUUGACGGUACUGUAAGAAUAAGGAUCGGCUAACUCCGUGCCAGCAGCCGCGGUAAUACGGAGGAUCCAAGCGUUAUCCGGAAUCAUUGGGUUUAAAGGGUCCGUAGGCGGUUUAGUAAGUCAGUGGUGAAAGCCCAUCGCUCAACGGUGGAACGGCCAUUGAUACUGCUAGACUUGAAUUAUUAGGAAGUAACUAGAAUAUGUAGUGUAGCGGUGAAAUGCUUAGAGAUUACAUGGAAUACCAAUUGCGAAGGCAGGUUACUACUAAUUGAUUGACGCUGAUGGACGAAAGCGUGGGUAGCGAACAGGAUUAGAUACCCUGGUAGUCCACGCCGUAAACGAUGGAUACUAGCUGUUGGGCGCAAGUUCAGUGGCUA
Molecule: ribosomal RNA, 756 nt
Filed under: Flavobacterium sp.
Lineage: Bacteria; Pseudomonadati; Bacteroidota; Flavobacteriia; Flavobacteriales; Flavobacteriaceae
Description: bacterial SSU rRNA
Rfam family: Bacterial small subunit ribosomal RNA
Source: RNAcentral